UGGGGAAUUUUCGACAAUGGGGGGAACCCUGAUCGAGCCAUCCCGCGUGUGCGAUGAAGGCCUUCGGGUUGUAAAGCACUUUUGUCAGGGAAGAAAAGUCACUUACUAAUAUUAGGUGACGCUGACGGUACCUGAAGAAUAAGCACCGGCUAACUACGUGCCAGCAGCCGCGGUAAUACGUAGGGUGCAAGCGUUAAUCGGAAUUACUGGGCGUAAAGCGUGCGCAGGCGGUUUGGAAAGAAGGAUGUGAAAUCCCAGGGCUCAACCUUGGAACUGCAUUCUUAACUGUCAAACUAGAGUAUGUCAGAGGGGGGUAGAAUUCCACGUGUAGCAGUGAAAUGCGUAGAUAUGUGGAGGAAUACCGAUGGCGAAGGCAGCCCCCUGGGAUAAUACUGACGCUCAUGCACGAAAGCGUGGGGAGCAAACAGG
This 429-nucleotide ribosomal RNA is filed under the name uncultured bacterium. RNAcentral describes it as "bacterial SSU rRNA". It matches the Rfam family "Bacterial small subunit ribosomal RNA", at positions 355 to 776 of the family's 1533-position model. The record is from RNAcentral.